RNAcentral lists this ribosomal RNA (322 nucleotides) under uncultured Bacillota bacterium. RNAcentral's name for it is "bacterial SSU rRNA". It matches the Rfam family "Bacterial small subunit ribosomal RNA", at positions 28 to 351 of the family's 1533-position model. The record is from RNAcentral. Lineage: Bacteria; Bacillati; Bacillota.
GACGAACGCUGGCGGCGUGCCUAACACAUGCAAGUCGAGCGGAGCUAAUAGUAAUAUUAGUUUAGCGGCGGACGGGUGAGUAACGCGUGGGCAACCUGCCUUCAACUGGGGGAUAACACUGGGAAACUAGUGCUAAUACCGCAUAACAUCAUGAAGUGACAUCACUUUAUGAUCAAAGGAGCAAUCCGGUAGAAGAUGGGCCCGCGUCCGAUUAGCUAGUUGGUGAUGUAACGGACCACCAAGGCGACGAUCGGUAGCCGAACUGAGAGGUUGAUCGGCCACAUUGGGACUGAGACACGGCCCAGACACCUACGGGUGGCAG